AGUGAACGCUGGCGGCAGGCCUAACACAUGCGAGUCGAGCGGCAGCGCGGGGGCAACCCUGGCGGCGAGCGGCGGACGGGUGAGGAAUUCGUCGGAAUCUGCCUUUUUGUGGGGGAUAACGUAGGGAAACGUACGCUAAUACCGCAUACGUCCUACGGGAGAAAGUGGGGGACCGCAAGACCUCACGCAGAAAGAUGAGCCGACGACCGAUUAGCUAGUUGGUGGGGUAAAGGCCCACCAAGGCGACGAUCGGUAGCUGGUCUGAGAGGAUGAUCAGCCACACUGGAACUGAGACACGGUCCAGACUCCUACGGGAGGCAGCAGUGGGGAAUAUUGGACAAUGGGCGCAAGCCUGAUCCAGCCAUGCCGCGUGUGUGAAGAAGGCCUUCGGGUUGUAAAGCACUUUUGUCCGGAAAGAAAUCCCUGGAGCUAAUACCUUCGGGGGAUGACGGUACCGGAAGAAUAAGCACCGGCUAACUUCGUG
This 484-nucleotide ribosomal RNA is filed under the name uncultured bacterium. RNAcentral describes it as "partial 16S ribosomal RNA". It matches the Rfam family "Bacterial small subunit ribosomal RNA", at positions 29 to 507 of the family's 1533-position model. The record is from RNAcentral.